GACUCCGCCCCGGCCAUGCCCCUCCUGCGGGUCUGUCUGCUGCCCAGGCCUCCGUCGGCGGCUUCAGCAGGGGCACGUGGUUCCCAGUUCCAUCCCACCCGUCGGGACGCAGGCGGGUCGGGCCGGGGGCUCUCCUGGGCCCGGGUCCCUGCCAUCUCCGGGCAAACCCUGAGCCCGCCGGGAGCCACGGAUGCGAGCGGCCUGCCCGGACGCCCCGGCACCCAGGAGCAAGGAGGAGGGGGACCGGCCUGGCGCUGCCUGUGGCGGGGGAGGGGUGGGGCCUGUGCCCCGAUGGAGGAGCGCGCGUCGUGCGGAGGUGCCCCGGGACGCCGCGUCUGGACUGUCGCCCCUGAGAAGCCUCGCUCCAGAGCUCUGGCAGGUGCUUCUGUGGCUGCGCCUCUGGUGGCCGGACGUCAGGCUGCCGACCCGCACCCCUGUGAGCUGGAGCCCACGACGCCGCCUGGGCCAUGGACUCGAAGGUCAGCAACGGCGCCAGCCCCCAGGACGAGCGCACCACAAGCCUGCUGGUGUUCGCCUUCCUCCAGAGCUGCCCGCGCUCCCGCUGCCACCAAGAGCUGGAGGUGCUGGGCCACGAGCUGCCCGUGCGCGCGGCCCACGACGAUGAGCUGCAGACGGAUGGCAACUGGUGCAGCCACUUCCGUGAGGGGGCGGCAGAGACAGACUCUGAGACUCAGGAGGAAGUGGUCCGGGACAUCGCCAGGCAGCUCGCCCAGAUUGGGGACAGGAUGGAGUGCAGCAUCCGCCCGGGGCUGGUGGCUGGCCUGGCCGCGCAGUUCAGGAACAGGAGCCUGUCGGAGGAGGACAGGAGGCGGUGCCUGGCGGCCGCGCUGGAACAACUCAUGCAGCUCUACCCUGCGGACGUGGACCACGAGAAGACCCUGCUCCUGCUGACCAUGCUCGUGGCCAAAAAGGUGGCCGACCACUCGCCAGCUUUGCUCCAAGAUGUCUUUCACACCACAGUGACCUUCAUCAACCAGAACCUUCUCGCCUACGUGAGGAACUUAGUCCAAAACGAGAUGGACUGAAGGGACGACUCAGCAAAAGCACGACUGGUUACAACUUGAGAUGGCGACAGCAGUGUAGCUGUCUCCACACAGAUGGAGCCUCUGCCACUUAAACAUGCUCAGAGAAGACAGGCACGAGAUGACAGCUGUGUAUCUCUCACCAUUUUAAAGGCAGGGACCAUUUAGGAAUUUCUUCAUGUACACAUGUGAAUGUUUCACAUCAUCUACAUCUAUCCACACACUGUGCCUUUACCUUAUGUCUGCUGGAAAGGUCCCCGCCUGAAAAUCAGAUCUAAAAGCAGAUCGUGAGUUCCCUGGUGGUCCAGUGGUUAGGACUCCUCUGUGCUUCCACUGCAGGGACCGGGUCUGAUCCCUGGUCGGGGAACUAAGAUCCGGGAUACAAGCUGCAGUCAAAAAAGAAAAAAAGAACAACAAAAUAAAAGCAGAUUGACAAAUAAAAGGCAGAAGAAAAAAAACACACUUCAUGUUUUUUUGUUUUUUAAAAAAACCCACUUGGGACUUUCCUGGCGGUCCAGUGGUUAAGACUCCGUGCUUCCACCGCAGGGGGCGCAGGUUUGAUCCCUGGUCAGAGAACUAAGAUCCUACAUACCGUGCAGCGCAGGAAGGAAAAAAAAAAAAAGUGCACCCUUGGUGGUGGUGGUGUUACCACAGGCAGUGCCGAGUGUGAGGGGACCAGGGAUUGGAGAGGGAAUGCAUGGACCUCUUACAAGUGAAAAAUUCCCCUCAAAACAGGGACACCUUCAUAGUAAGGAAGUGGUCUUUUUUUUUUUUUUUUUUAAGGUUUCAUAGGUUUAAUGCCGUGUGUGUUCACACACCAAAGCUAUUUCCACCAACACAGGAAAUCUCUCUCUCUCACCGUGUAUUUCCUCAAGGUCCAUCCCAAGAGCCUGGGCCAUUCCAGAUGCAGCUGGAAGAAGGCAGCGCCACCAGAUACCGGAGGGGUCCAAGGGGAUGGGUUUCAUUAAUCGUCCUUCUUGAACUUGCCGUUGAUGUAGAGCACCUGGUCCAGAAUCAGUCAGUGGCCCGUGCCAGCCCCACGGCUCCCAUGGCGCCCCGCAGGCCCACUGUGGGUGACCGGUUUCCGGCCAGCUGGCGGCAGCGAGGGCCCGUGAACCUGCUCAGCAUCGUGGCUCGUCCCGGCUCGGGGUGACCCCAGCCCCGCUGGCUCGGGCGCACUCAGUCUUCCUGUUUAAAAGCCAAGCAGCACAAGAGGUUCUGGACUCAGACAACAGGAAAAUCAGACCUCAAAAUGUGUCUGACUUUUUCACCGUGAUUUCCUUUUACUUGAGUCAGGAACCACAGGCAGUUAAAAGACGUGGAGGUGAUUUCAAGGCCUAUGUCAACCAGUUUCCAAAAUCAUGUAACUAAAUGCACCCUUUUCUCUUUCCAAGAAGUCAAGGUUUUGAUAAAAAUUUUAAGCUACUGCAUCCGUCCUGUGGGGAAUGUCUGUGAAGAAUCUUACACUUUCAUCUUCCAGCCAUGCCCCCAGCUCAUCUGCACCUAUGAAGCUGCUUAUGGAGAGAACAGUUUUCUAGGCAUACAAGAUGAAAGAACAGUUAGACUUAAGAAUUCAGCAUUUGUGGUGGCUCCCUUUUCUAGACACACAGUCAGUAUACAAGUAAUAACAGGGACUUCCCUGGUGGUCGAGUGGUUAAGAAUCUGCCUUCCAGUGCAGGGGAUGCAGGUUCGAUCCCUGGUUGGGGAACUAAGAUCCCACACGCCGCGGGGGAACUAAGACCCCGAUGCAGCCAAAAAUAAAUAAAUUUAAACAAAACAAAAAACUAUAGCCCAAUAAAAUUUGAAAAAAAAAAAAAGAAUAACAAAACGCAAUCACUUAGCACCAGAGUAAACUGGAGCACUUACUGUAGAAGCAACAAAGCCCGGUCUGUUCCCAGUGCUAAGCGUUUCCUAGGAUUGGUCUGCGUCCAAGUGCGAUGGUGGGUAGGGUCCAGAUCUCACAUCACCAGUAACAGAAACGCCCUUGUUACUGUGACCAUGAUGCUCUGGGGAAGGACAUGAACACUAGUAAUUAAGUACUGAUAAAUACGUUGUUACCAAAACCACUUCCCUGUUCCCUGAGUUUAAACUUACGAGAAAAGAAAAAUGACUCCAUGGUUCAGCAUCCAACACAGCACCCCAGGGCUGGGUCUCAGGCUGACACCUGAAGAAUGCUGCAAGUCCUAAAAGCAAGUAGGCGUGGCUGCGCCUCUGGAAACAAUCUUCCAGAUUUAAAGGGUUCAUGUCACCGUGGAAACACGGUGAAUCACACAUGAACACAGACACAGGGAUCAGUCAGUACAAUGUGUCUCAGCAGGGAGAUACUUUCUUCCAGGCCCAGGAGCAAUUUAAACUCAAGUAGUCAACUCUAUAAACUAAUGGAAGAGAAAGGAGCUCUAAAGCACCAAAUAAUCCCAGACUAUCUCUUAACAAUACUUUAAAUUUUUCAGGGGCUUCCCUGGUGGUCCAGUGGUUAAGAGUCUGCGCUUCCACUGCAGGGGACACGGGUUUGAUCCCUGGUUGGGGAACUAAGAUCUUGUGUGCCGCGUGGUGCAGUGAGUACGUAAAUAAAUAAUUUGUCACAGCA
This is an RNA transcript of Balaenoptera acutorostrata (minke whale), 3630 nucleotides long. It is a transcript of the gene named BH3 interacting domain death agonist, with no coding region annotated. The transcript has 7 exons. The record is from RefSeq and is a predicted model, not a curated record. Lineage: Eukaryota; Metazoa; Chordata; Mammalia; Artiodactyla; Balaenopteridae.